UCGCAUCCCUUCACUAUUUUUUCUCUGGUCUCUCCGCCUACAACUCUUCUCUACUUCCAUCACCACCACAGACAAUAGAUCAGCAUCCUCCAGUUCCAUCACCACCACAACAAUACCUUCUCCUCCAUCUUCUCGAUUGAUUUAGUUUGUAUGCUUAUAAUCAACGAAACACACAAAAACCCGAGUAUACAAAUCUGUAUUUUUUCUCACUUCAGAAAUUGAAACUCACUGUUAGAAAUCAAAGCUUUAUCUGAACCCAUAUCUGAAAACCAAAACCCAUGUAUCAGAAGAAAUCAAGAGGAAGCUUUCUAACCCUAGAUUUAGUAUUUAGUUGUUCUUGAAAUCAUCUGGAUAAUAUCAAUUUCUCUUGAAAUCAUCAGGUGAGCUGUUUAUUUUUCUAUUUUGUCUUACAAGAAAACUCAUUAAGGGUAAAAGAUCUCUUCUCCUAUUGUAAGAAAGAAAACCCCUAAAUCUAAUUUUGAACAUAAAGUAUAAUUUUAUUUUGAUCUUUACCCUUAAUUGACAGUUAGGUCUUUUAUUUUUGUUAUGUUUUUAUUUUUGAGUCUUUUAGGUACUGGAACUCUGUAAAGAAUGACUCAACCCCAUCAUAGAAAGGGCAUCCUACACCAGCAGAAUUGAUUAUCCAAAGUCAGAUUCAAGGCUUAUAAUUGCCAUAAUAUUGCAAGGAUGCUAGCUCAAAUCAAGAAUUCUUAAGAAUAGAGGGAAGUAGAUGUAGUUAUGCAAAGGCUUGCAGAGAUACAAACUAGCAGGAUAUUGGCUAUACGCUGAUCAAUACAUGUUUCCUUAUGGAACGGUCUUGCCACCACCAUGGGCCAAGAGUUGUUGGAUGUUCUUGACAGCGAUCUGAUUAUGGCAAUCAAAUCUCUAAAGGUUGGAGACCUCCAAGGUGAUACUAAUAUAGUUGGAGAAGAAGCGGGCGACGGAGAAUAUUAUAUGUGGGUCGAGUGAAGUAACUUAGUACAUGAAUGGUGACUGCUUUGUCAGCAAAACAUAGCCAAUGAUACAAGGAGUCUGUAGAUUAAUGUGGGAUCUUCAGCAAAUGAUGUUAUAAAGAGCUGCAAUCUAAUGUGUUGGGAAAAAUAGAGUCAGUUAGCAUCAGGGAGGAAGAUACCCUCUUAAUUGUGAGAUAUCAAGUAAGGUUGUCAUCUUUUUGUAAUUACCUUACUCAAUUACAUGGGAAUAAUAAUACUAAUUGUACGAAAGUACUUGAGGUGUUACUCGACAUGGUUUCAGGAGUUACUCGAGAUGGUUUGUUGAUGAGAAUGAAAAAUCUCUGUUGCAGGAUGUUAUUAACUUAUCUUAGAAGGUGUAUUUCUCUGUAUACAAGUAUCUCUAAAUAAUGACAUGGCUAGUUUCAUGUGCAGAAGCUUCAGAUCUCCAAUUUGUUGUUUAAUCAAAUGUCUACUAGUUCAUCAUUUUGUUAUUCAAUCUUAGAACUUACUAGCUAGCUAGAAAUUAUAUAUUGUUUUGAACUCAGGAUUUCAAUCCUUGUCUGUGUAAUUUUAAACCUAAUGGAUACAAUGAAUGAAUGUUGAAUUUUGAGUUUGAGUUCGA
Molecule: long non-coding RNA, 1575 nt
Organism: Papaver somniferum (opium poppy)
Lineage: Eukaryota; Viridiplantae; Streptophyta; Magnoliopsida; Ranunculales; Papaveraceae
Exons: 8
Source: RefSeq, a predicted model, not a curated record